ACCUGGUUGAUUCUGCCGGACCCGACUGCUAUCAGAGUGGGACUAAGCCAUGCGAGUCAACAUAGCAACAUGUGGCAUACGGCUCAGUAACACGUAGUCAACAUGCCCAGGGGACGUGGAUAACCUCGGGAAACUGAGGAUAAACCGUGAUAAGUCACUACUUCUGGAAUGGGUAAUGACUCAAAUCUAUAUGGCCCCUGGAUUGGACUGCGGCCGAUCAGGCUGUUGGUGAGGUAAUGGCCCACCAAACCUGUAACCGGUACGGGCUCUGAGAGGAGGAGCCCGGAGAUGGGCACUGAGACAAGGGCCCAGGCCCUAUGGGGCGCAGCAGGCGCGAAACCUCUGCAAUAGGCGAAAGCUUGACAGGGUUACUCUGAGUGAUUUCCGUUAAGGAAAUCUUUUGGCACCUCUAAAAAUGGUGCAGAAUAAGGGGUGGGCAAGUCUGGUGUCAGCCGCCGCGGUAAUACCAGCACCCCGAGUGGUCGGGACGUUUAUUGGGCCUAAAGCAUCCGUAGCCGGUUCUACAAGUCUUCCGUUAAAUCCAACUGCUUAACAGGUGGGCUGCGGAAGAUACUAUAGAGCUAGGAGGCGGGAGAGGCAAGCGGUACUCGAUGGGUAGGGGUAAAAUCCGUUGAUCCAUUGAAGACCACCAGUGGCGAAGGCGGCUUGCCAGAACGCGCUCGACGGUGAGGGAUGAAAGCUGGGGGAGCAAACCGGAUUAGAUACCCGGGUAGUCCCAGCUGUAAACGAUGCAGACUCGGUGAUGAGUUGGCUAUAUGCCAACUCAGUGCCGCAGGGAAGCCGUUAAGUUUGCCGCCUGGGGAGUACGGUCGCAAGACUGAAACUUAAAGGAAUUGGCGGGGGAGCACCACAAGGGGUGAAGCCUGCGGUUCAAUUGGAGUCAACGCCGGAAAUCGAAUUC
This 922-nucleotide ribosomal RNA is filed under the name uncultured archaeon. RNAcentral's name for it is "bacterial SSU rRNA". It matches the Rfam family "Archaeal small subunit ribosomal RNA", at positions 1 to 932 of the family's 1478-position model. The record is from RNAcentral.